CUCUUAUCAAGAGUAGGUGGAGGGACUAGCCCUUUGAAACCCGGCAACCGGCUUAUCUAACGAUAAAAACGGUGCUAAUUCUUGCAGUUCAGAAAUGGACUGAGAGAUAAGAG
This 113-nucleotide non-coding RNA is filed under the name Thermoactinomyces sp. RNAcentral's name for it is "SAM-I sequence". It matches the Rfam family "SAM riboswitch aptamer (S box leader)". Rfam says of the family: The SAM riboswitch is found upstream of a number of genes which code for proteins involved in methionine or cysteine biosynthesis in Gram-positive bacteria. The SAM riboswitch acts at the level of transcription termination control. The predicted structure consists of a complex stem-loop region followed by a single stem loop terminator region. Lineage: Bacteria; Bacillati; Bacillota; Bacilli; Caryophanales; Thermoactinomycetaceae. The record is from RNAcentral.